This 73-nucleotide microRNA precursor is filed under the name Myotis lucifugus (little brown bat). RNAcentral describes it as "mir-9193 microRNA precursor family". It matches the Rfam family "mir-9193 microRNA precursor family". The record is from Rfam by way of RNAcentral. Lineage: Eukaryota; Metazoa; Chordata; Mammalia; Chiroptera; Vespertilionidae.
CUCGAGGGGGUGGGUCCCUCAGCCUGAAUUGCGAGAGGGCGCAGUCCAGGCCGAGGGACCCCAAUGGUGCACG